RNAcentral lists this ribosomal RNA (426 nucleotides) under uncultured Pseudomonas sp. Its description in RNAcentral is "bacterial SSU rRNA". It matches the Rfam family "Bacterial small subunit ribosomal RNA", at positions 957 to 1382 of the family's 1533-position model. Lineage: Bacteria; Pseudomonadati; Pseudomonadota; Gammaproteobacteria; Pseudomonadales; Pseudomonadaceae. The record is from RNAcentral.
CAACGCGAAGAACCUUACCAGGCCUUGACAUGCAGAGAACUUUCCAGAGAUGGAUUGGUGCCUUCGGGAACUCUGACACAGGUGCUGCAUGGCUGUCGUCAGCUCGUGUCGUGAGAUGCUGGGUUAAGUCCCGUAACGAGCGCAACCCUUGUCCUUAGUUACCAGCACGUUAUGGUGGGCACUCUAAGGAGACUGCCGGUGACAAACCGGAGGAAGGUGGGGAUGACGUCAAGUCAUCAUGGCCCUUACGGCCUGGGCUACACACGUGCUACAAUGGUCGGUACAAAGGGUUGCCAAGCCGCGAGGUGGAGCUAAUCCCAUAAAACCGAUCGUAGUCCGGAUCGCAGUCUGCAACUCGACUGCGUGAAGUCGGAAUCGCUAGUAAUCGUGAAUCAGAAUGUCACGGUGAAUACGUUCCCGGGCCUU